UCAAAUGUUUGGCCCAUAAAGAGUAGCACCA
Molecule: non-coding RNA, 31 nt
Filed under: Mus musculus (house mouse)
Lineage: Eukaryota; Metazoa; Chordata; Mammalia; Rodentia; Muridae
Source: RNAcentral